Molecule: unclassified non-coding RNA, 1646 nt
Filed under: Hevea brasiliensis (rubber tree)
Lineage: Eukaryota; Viridiplantae; Streptophyta; Magnoliopsida; Malpighiales; Euphorbiaceae
Source: RNAcentral
CCUACUCCUAAAAUCCCCUCAAUUCUCUUUACCGGCCCGUUAUCCUCGCCGGCAUCGCCGUCCUCCUCCGUGAACCAUCACUGAUCCGCCGUACCCGACGGCGUUUACAUUUUUUCAAAAUGACGAAAUUACCCCUCCCCUUCCUCCUCCUCCUCCUCCUCUGUCUUGUCUCGUUCACCACCGGCGAGAUAAAAAAGCUGAAAAUCUCCUCCGAUCCACGGGCAAUGAUACUCUUCGAGCGGUUCGGGUUUACUCAUACGGGUCAAGCUGCCAUUAGCGUCUCUUCCGUCUCUGUUAUCUCUACCUUAGCUACGCCGGACCCUUCACGGCUUGGGUUUUUUCUCUUAUCGGAAGAAGCGCUUAUUCAAGUUCUUCUUGAACUUCAACAAAACCCUACAUUUUGUGUUCUAGAUUCCAAAUUCAUCAAUUUGUUGUUUACUUUCCGUGAUCUUUCUCCACCCCCAAAUUCUUCGUUUAACCGAUCUUACCCUGUUACUUCUCCUAAUGAAUACUCUCUCUUCUUUGCGAAUUGUGCUCCUGAAUCGAAAGUAUCCAUGGAUGUUCGUACGGAACUGUAUAAUCUAGAUAAUCAAGUGAAGGAUUAUCUUUCUGCUGGUCUUACUCAGCUUCCCACGUUGUAUUUUCUGUUUUCCUUUGUGUAUAUCGGGUUUUUGGGGUUGUGGUUGUCUGUAUGUAUUCGUAAUAAGAAAUCUGUUCAUCGGAUUCAUAUGCUUAUGGCUGCUUUAGUUGUAAUGAAGGCGUUGAAUUUGAUUUUCGCGGCGGAGGAUAAGCAUUAUGUUAAGGUUACUGGUACUGCUCAUGGUUGGGAUGUGUUGUUUUACAUUUUUCAGUCGCUUCGUGUUGUUUUGCUUUUUACUGUGAUUGUUUUGAUUGGUACUGGCUGGUCGUUUUUGAAGCCAUUUUUGCAAGAGAGGGAGAAGAAAGUGUUGAUGAUUGUGAUCCCGCUUCAGGUUUUGGCUAAUGUGGCAUCGAUAGUGAUUGGUGAAACGGGUCCGUUUAUUAGGGAUUGGGUGACUUGGAAUCAGGUGUUUUUGAUUGUUGAUAUUAUCUGUUGUUGUGCUAUUAUCUUCCCUAUUGUUUGGUCGAUUAGGUCCUUGAGGGAGACAUCGAAGACUGAUGGGAAGGCUGCAAGGAAUUUGUCAAAAUUGACUUUGUUUAGGCAGUUUUAUAUUGUGGUGAUCGGAUACUUGUACUUCACAAGGAUUGUUGUGUUCGCAUUGAGGACAAUUGCUGCAUAUAAGUACCAAUGGGUGGCAAAUGCUGCGGAGGAGAUAGCCAGUUUAGCAUUCUACAUGGUGAUGUUUUACAUGUUUAGGCCAGAGGAGAAGAAUGAGUACUUUGUUCUCGACGAGGAGGAAGAAGAGGCUGCAGAAAUGGCUCUUCGAGAUGAGGAGUUUGAGCUGUGAAGUCGAGUUCUAGUGGAAGGUGUCCUGUCAUUUAUGCAGUUUGCAGCCUAAACACUGUGAGUUCACUGAAGUGAUAGUUAGGUUUGCUGGGAUUAAUUAUCAUUUACUGUUCUUUUACUUUUUCAUUUUUACUAAACAAUAUCUUGGUCUGUAGUAAUAGUACUGUAAUCAUGGAACAACGGUUUGCAUUUUUGGAUAUUGAUAGUUCUUUCAUUGGAA